CCAGGUCUUGACAUCCUAAAACAAUCCUAGAGAUAGGACUUUCCCCUUCGGGGGACAGAGUGACAGGUGGUGCAUGGUUGUCGUCAGCUCGUGUCGUGAGAUGUUGGGUUAAGUCCCGCAACGAGCGCAACCCUUGAUCUUAGUUGCCAGCAUUCAGUUGGGCACUCUAAGGUGACUGCCGGUGACAAACCGGAGGAAGGUGGGGAUGACGUCAAAUCAUCAUGCCCCUUAUGACCUGGGCUACACACGUGCUACAAUGGAUGGUACAAAGGGCUGCAAGACCGCGAGGUUUAGCCAAUCCCAUAAAACCAUUCUCAGUUCGGAUUGUAGGCUGCAACUCGCCUACAUGAAGCCGGAAUCGCUAGUAAUCGCGGAUCAGCAUGCCGCGGUGAAUACGUUCCCGGGCCUUGUACACACCGCCCGUCACACCACGAGAGUUU
Molecule: ribosomal RNA, 440 nt
Filed under: Bacillus sp. (in: firmicutes)
Lineage: Bacteria; Bacillati; Bacillota; Bacilli; Caryophanales; Bacillaceae
Description: bacterial SSU rRNA
Rfam family: Bacterial small subunit ribosomal RNA
Source: RNAcentral